CCCGGAGGAAGAGAAAGAAAAAUCGAUUCCCUGAGUAGCGGCGAGCGAAACGGGAAGAGCCCAAACCAACAAGCUUGCUUGUUGGGGUUGUAGGACACUCUAUACGGAGUUACAAAAGAACAUGUUAGACGAAUCAUCUGGAAAGAUGAAUCAAAGAAGGUAAUAAUCCUGUAGUCGAAAACAUAUUCUCUCUUGAGUGGAUCCUGAGUACGACGGAGCACGUGAAAUUCCGUCGGAAUCUGGGAGGACCAUCUCCUAAGGCUAAAUACUCUCUAGUGACCGAUAGUGAACCAGUACCGUGAGGGAAAGGUGAAAAGUACCCCGGAAGGGGAGUGAAAGAGAACUUGAAACCGUGUGCUUACAAGUAGUCAGAGCCCGUUAAUGGGUGAUGGCGUGCCUUUUGUAGAAUGAACCGGCGAGUUACGAUCUGAUGCAAGGUUAAGCAGCAAAUGUGGAGCCGCAGCGAAAGCGAGUCUGAAUAGGGCGUUGAGUAUUUGGUCGUAGACCCGAAACCAGGUGAUCUACCCUUGGUCAGGUUGAAGUUCAGGUAACACUGAAUGGAGGACCGAACCGACUUACGUUGAAAAGUGAGCGGAUGAACUGAGGGUAGCGGAGAAAUUCCAAUCGAACUUGGAGAUAGCUGGUUCUCUCCGAAAUAGCUUUAGGGCUAGCCUCAAGUGAUGAUUAUUGGAGGUAGAGCACUGUUUGGACGAGGGGCCCCUCUCGGGUUACCGAAUUCAGACAAACUCCGAAUGCCAAUUAAUUUAACUUGGGAGUCAGAACAUGGGUGAUAAGGUCCGUGUUCGAAAGGGAAACAGCCCAGACCACCAGCUAAGGUCCCAAAAUAUAUGUUAAGUGGAAAAGGAUGUGGCGUUGCCCAGACAACUAGGAUGUUGGCUUAGAAGCAGCCAUCAUUUAAAGAGUGCGUAAUAGCUCACUAGUCGAGUGACACUGCGCCGAAAAUGUACCGGGGCUAAACAUAUUACCGAAGCUGUGGAUUGUCCUUUGGACAAUGGUAGGAGAGCGUUCUAAGGGCGUCGAAGCAUGAUCGCAAGGACAUGUGGAGCGCUUAGAAGUGAGAAUGCCGGUGUGAGUAGCGAAAGACGGGUGAGAAUCCCGUCCACCGAUUGACUAAGGUUUCCAGAGGAAGGCUCGUCCGCUCUGGGUUAGUCGGGUCCUAAGCUGAGGCCGACAGGCGUAGGCGAUGGAUAACAGGUUGAUAUUCCUGUACCACCUAGUAUCGUUUUAAUCGAUGGGGGGACGCAGUAGGAUAGGCGAAGCGUGCUGUUGGAGUGCACGUCCAAGCAGUAAGGCUGAGUGUUAGGCAAAUCCGGCACUCAUAAGGCUGAGCUGUGAUGGGGAGAGGAAAUUGUUUCCUCGAGUCGUUGAUUUCACACUGCCGAGAAAAGCCUCUAGAUAGAUAACAGGUGCCCGUACCGCAAACCGACACAGGUAGUCAAGAUGAGAAUUCUAAGGUGAGCGAGCGAACUCUCGUUAAGGAACUCGGCAAAAUGACCCCGUAACUUCGGGAGAAGGGGUGCUCUUUAGGGUUCACGCCCAGAAGAGCCGCAGUGAAUAGGCCCAAGCGACUGUUUAUCAAAAACACAGGUCUCUGCUAAACCGUAAGGUGAUGUAUAGGGGCUGACGCCUGCCCGGUGCUGGAAGGUUAAGAGGAGUGGUUAGCUUCUGCGAAGCUACGAAU
RNAcentral lists this ribosomal RNA (1702 nucleotides) under Enterococcus faecium. RNAcentral's name for it is "partial 23S ribosomal RNA". It matches the Rfam family "Bacterial large subunit ribosomal RNA", at positions 209 to 1912 of the family's 2925-position model. The record is from RNAcentral. Lineage: Bacteria; Bacillati; Bacillota; Bacilli; Lactobacillales; Enterococcaceae.